AAUCGUUUAUAAUAUAUAGCUCCAUGAACGUUUUUUAGGAAUUUUGCAUAGAGUUAAGUUAAGAUGGCAAAUGGGUGAUGUAAAUUUUCAUUUUUUCGGUCAUGAAGAAUACUUAUGCAAACGAUUGACGAUUAUGAGAAAAGCAUAAUCACACCACAAGGUGAGUUGAAAACAGGUUUUUUUUGUCCAACCAACGACAGAGUUCAGAUUCCGGAGCAUCGCAGCAACCUAUGAAGUUGCGUGUCUGUUUGUCUCCGGUACAGUGACAGUUUUAAUUGCCCGUCCCGACAGAACCAGUCCCCGGCCAGCCGACUAAAUAGACACUCUACCAUCCACAAAGAGGCAUUCGCAGAAUUUUCCCGCCUGCAGCAGUUCACAUAAAUCCCAGCAUUUAAAAGCUUACCGUGGACAGUAAAAUAGUUGCCAGUUUGCCACGAACAAAUUGAGGUUCGACUACAACGACCAACAUGUUUUUAAAAGCGCAGUUUGUAGCAGAGAAGGAAAUGCAAAAAUUCUCCCGUCAUCCUCUAAUCGGAAGUUGUCGGCAUGCCAAUGGCAAAAAAAUAUGUUCAUAGUGAAAUCGAAAAUGCACUAACGCAUGGUGCAGUUAGCUAUUCUAUUUCUAUCAUCAUUUAAGUAAUUCCCAGACCGUCUCGCAGCAUAUUUCAGUUGGCCGCUGGCAGUUUAACUGUUACCAAUUGUUUGGAUGAAUGACUUACGGCACAUUCCACAUUCUUCGACUGACACAGAAACACCACUCACAGUUUUCUAAACAAACAUGCAAGCCAUAAAUUAAAACAAAUAUUACAAACCAUCAACGGCGAUCAUCGGACCUGCAUGCAGACGGUUUCCAUCGCACAUGUGCAUCUUCGCCACAUAGUCUUGGGAACACCCAAACGAACAAUUCAUCUCAGCAGCAGCACAUUAUUCGAGCCUCCCGAAUGCGAUCCGAGAACGCAGCAGCAGCAGCGAACCGAUAUGUAGCCUAAUUAUGUCAUUCUUAUCUCUGGUCCGGGCGCGCCAAUCUGGGCACAGUUCCCUGCGGAAGACCCGAGGCUUUUGAUCAAGCAAAGCGAUACCGCUUAUCAAAACACAACAACAACCCAUCCGUGGGCCAGUAUUCGUGAUCGGAAAGCAGGGAGAAGAGAUUUUUUUUUGUUUUUUCUCUGUUGUUCCUAAUUGAAAGCGGAAAUGUUUAAUUUAGAUUUGCUGGAUUCGACCAGCCAUGUAUGCAUUGGUUUCGCUGGAGCCAAGGAAUCAAAUUUUUAUAUUUGGUUAAUGUGAUUUUCAUUCGUUCUGUUUUUUGUUUGCGGGGUGGUUCGUUGGAAAGUAAUUCCGGAGAUAUGUGACUACAGGCACUCUUGAUGGUAAAAAACGAAUGCCUUUCGUUUCGACUGAUUUUGCAUCCGAUUUUUAAUUUAUAGAAAAAUGACAGAUUUUGU
This is a long non-coding RNA of Malaya genurostris, 1442 nucleotides long. RefSeq lists it as uncharacterized. Lineage: Eukaryota; Metazoa; Arthropoda; Insecta; Diptera; Culicidae. The record is from RefSeq and is a predicted model, not a curated record. The transcript is spliced from 3 exons.